UACGUAGGGGGCAAGCGUUGUCCGGAUUCAUUGGGCGUAAAGAGCGUGUAGGCGGCCAGGUAGGUCGGUUGUGAAAACUGGAGGCUCAACCUUCAGACGUCGACCGAAACCAUCUGGCUAGAGUCCGGGAGAGGAGAGUGGAAUUCCUGGUGUAGCGGUGAAAUGCGUAGAUAUCAGGAGGAACACCGGCGGCGAAGGCGGCCCUCUGGAUCGUUGCUGACGCUGAGACGCGAAAGCGUGGGGAGCAAACAGG
RNAcentral lists this ribosomal RNA (253 nucleotides) under uncultured bacterium. Its description in RNAcentral is "partial 16S ribosomal RNA". It matches the Rfam family "Bacterial small subunit ribosomal RNA", at positions 524 to 776 of the family's 1533-position model. The record is from RNAcentral.